UACGUAAGGUGCAAGCGUUGUCCGGAAUUAUUGGGCGUAAAGGGCGCGUAGGUGGCCUGUGGAAGUCUGCGGUGAAAGCCCGGCGCUCAACGCCGGGUCGGCCGUGGAUACUCUCGGGCUUGAGCUUACUAGAGGCAGAUGGAAUUCCAGGUGUAGCGGUGAAAUGCGUAGAUAUCUGGAGGAACACCGGUGGCGAAGGCGGCAUCCUGGACCAACACUGACGCUGAUGAGCGAAAGCCAGGGGAGCAAACGGG
Molecule: ribosomal RNA, 254 nt
Filed under: uncultured bacterium
Lineage: Bacteria
Description: partial 16S ribosomal RNA
Rfam family: Bacterial small subunit ribosomal RNA
Source: RNAcentral